Molecule: long non-coding RNA, 941 nt
Filed under: Scleropages formosus (Asian bonytongue)
Lineage: Eukaryota; Metazoa; Chordata; Actinopteri; Osteoglossiformes; Osteoglossidae
Description: lncRNA (ENSSFOG00015030171.1)
Source: RNAcentral
CCUGUAUUCACCGCACCCCUCGACAAAGAGUAAAAGUACCCCUGAUUUUCGUUCCUUUUCGUUCCUUUUCAUUCCAGAACCGCCGGUUCAUCGUUUCGUAAAUUCGUAGAGUGGUCGAAGCGCACAUUUUGAAAAGUCGCAGUGGGACGAGGAGGAAGAAAAUUAGAAAACGCGUCUUUUACGCAUUGAGGAGAGCGCGCGGACGGAUGCGGAUGUCAGACGGCCCGGAGAGCACCAUCUUCACUGUGUUACCUGGAAAUGUUUCACCCUGCUUUUUUUGCCGUGUUUCUGUCUCGCGGAAUACGCGGAACACGCCUGUCCUACCUGGCAGCGCGCAGAUGCCCUCCGGUCCAGGCACGCGGUGAGCCCCGAAGGUCUCCAGAUGUCUCCAGGUGCCCUCUCACCUCCUUCGGUUUAUAAUCACGUUGUGCACGUGAUGUCCCGACACCGUAACAACGUACUAAGCUCAGAUGAAGCAAGUACAAAGAAAAAAAACAUUUUCCAUACUGCCCAAAUUUUUUUGGAACUGGGGUUUGAACGUAAAGCAAGCGCUCCGAGGUCUUACUCAUCCACAGAGGGCCUUUGGAAAUGUAGACAGUGUAUGACUGAGAGGAGAUCAGGCUGAGGAAGCUGGAGAAAAGGCAGAAGAUCAGACUUGACACCAGGGUCUGGAACGAAGCCCAGCACUCGGAACUGUAAAGGUGACAGUCGGUGUUAAACGUAGCCCUGACUGAGGUUUCUUCUGGCAGCAGAUUUGAUUUACAGAGCAGUUUCCUUUUACCACAGUAAACCUCAAGGUAGUUGACUCUGCUCUGACUGAGGAAUGACUACUGAAUUUAACUUGAUGGCACAGUGAAGCAAAUGCAGAUUAUAUCUAUGUUGCGUUGAAUCAUUGUUGAUGAAAUCUGUAAGCCUGGCUUGGCUCCAUCUGGAUUUCUCGG